Neolamprologus brichardi is the source of this 412-nucleotide non-coding RNA. The record is from RefSeq and is a predicted model, not a curated record. Lineage: Eukaryota; Metazoa; Chordata; Actinopteri; Cichliformes; Cichlidae.
CUCUGUGUGGGGAACAUGAGAGCCAGACCAAAGCUCAGAGGAACCAACCUGGAGCUGAACCCAGCUGUGUGUCCUUAAAGAGUGAUGGAUCAAAAGCGAAUAUUUUAGAUUUUCAAAAAGCAGCAUCAAAUAAUGCAGAACCAGAUUUUUCUGGAGCUGAAUCUAGCUGUGUGUCCUUAAAAAGUGACUCGUCAAUGUAUAUCCCUGUAGGUUUUAAGGAAGGACACCAUUCGGUUGCAGAAAGAGUGGACCAGGAAAGCUCAGAGGUUGCCAGAGAUCAGUCUGACCGGGAGAAUCAUGCACAUCUGGACUCCAUAUUUAGGGUCUGUACAGGGUGUGAGGGUUACUCAGACCAUGGCUCAGAUUGGUGGGUGAAUGGGAUGUGGGGAUGUGCCUGUGAAGGUUCUCAGUC